CCUACGGGUGGCAGCAGUCGAGAAUCAUUCACAAUGGGGGAAACCCUGAUGGUGCGACGCCGCGUGGGGGAAUGAAGGUCUUCGGAUUGUAAACCCCUGUCAUGUGGGAGCAAAUUAAAAAGAUAGUACCACAAGAGGAAGAGACGGCUAACUCUGUGCCAGCAGCCGCGGUAAUACCGAGGUCUCAAGCGUUGUUCGGAAUCACUGGGCGUAAGGCGUGCGUAGGCUGUGUCGUAAGUCGUGUGUGAAAGGCGCGGGCUCAACCCGCGGACGGCACAUGAUACUGCGAGACUAGAGUAAUGGAGGGGGAACCGGAAUGCUCGGUGUAGCAGGGAAAUGCGUAGAUAUCGAGAGGAACACUCGUGGCGAAGGCGGGUUCCUGGACAUUAACUGACGCUGAGGCACGAAGGCCAGGGGAGCGAAAGGGAUUAGAUACCCCAGUAGUC
This 446-nucleotide ribosomal RNA is filed under the name uncultured bacterium. RNAcentral describes it as "partial 16S ribosomal RNA". It matches the Rfam family "Bacterial small subunit ribosomal RNA", at positions 338 to 795 of the family's 1533-position model. The record is from RNAcentral.